RNAcentral lists this ribosomal RNA (465 nucleotides) under uncultured Klebsiella sp. RNAcentral describes it as "bacterial SSU rRNA". It matches the Rfam family "Bacterial small subunit ribosomal RNA", at positions 338 to 795 of the family's 1533-position model. The record is from RNAcentral. Lineage: Bacteria; Pseudomonadati; Pseudomonadota; Gammaproteobacteria; Enterobacterales; Enterobacteriaceae.
CCUACGGGGGGCAGCAGUGGGGAAUAUUGCACAAUGGGCGCAAGCCUGAUGCAGCCAUGCCGCGUGUGUGAAGAAGGCCUUCGGGUUGUAAAGCACUUUCAGCGGGGAGGAAGGCGGUGAGGUUAAUAACCUCAUCGAUUGACGUUACCCGCAGAAGAAGCACCGGCUAACUCCGUGCCAGCAGCCGCGGUAAUACGGAGGGUGCAAGCGUUAAUCGGAAUUACUGGGCGUAAAGCGCACGCAGGCGGCCUGACGAGUCGGAUGUGAAAUCCCCGGGCUCAACCUGGGAACUGCAUUCGAAACUGGCAGGCUAGAGUCUUGUAGAGGGGGGUAGAAUUCCAGGUGUAGCGGUGAAAUGCGUAGAGAUCUGGAGGAAUACCGGUGGCGAAGGCGGCCCCCUGGACAAAGACUGACGCUCAGGUGCGAAAGCGUGGGGAGCAAACAGGAUUAGAUACCCUAGUGGUC